ACCCAACUCGGUCCGGUAAGUCGAAAUAAGUAAUCGGAUGGGCGAUCGCCGACUCUUCUUCCUCGCGAUCGCACCGGCAAGCCCGCCGUGCGUGAGCCGAUCCCUUCGCCGCUUAGGAGGAUUACAGCUUGCUGCCAAUGGCUACAAUACAGCAUUUCUUUGGGAUCUCCUUAACAAAUUUUCUUAAUGUUGAUCAUUGCCCCUUACCAAACAACCAGGACCGAAGGAUCUCACAGAUAUUGCCAGUAAUGCUGGUAGACUGGCAGGAUGAGCAAUUGCAUAUGUUCAAUUAGUCUGUAGGCAGUUGUUUUUAACAGAUGUGCCACCAUCUCAGGCUAGCAAGGUGCACAAAGAACUACAAUAUAGCAUUUCUUUAUUAGAAGCAAGUUUUUUAUGGAAGACAAAGCAUAUCAAUAGUGAACCUAGGUCUAUUUCCUCGGAGGAUGGAUGGACCAGAACAAAUGCAGAGCACUGGAUCUAAGCAGAGCAAAUUCAGUUUCUUAUGGUUUCCACAACCAGUCAAUGAGAUAUUCCAGGCUAGCUGAAGCUUCACUGUUCUUCCUGUGUCUGCUGAAACAGCAGGAUCACUUCCAAAGCAUGGCGGUAAACAUCCCUAGUCGCUGGUAUAAUUCCAUGUUUUUAUUUUGGUAUUGAUAUCAAUAUAUUUUAGACCCAUGCUGUGAAGUUUUUGUAAGUGAAUCGUACUAGGUAAAAUUAGAUUAUUUUAUCGUUACUGGGAACUCAAAAUAUUUAGAGAAGUGAAUGAAGAUUGAGCAAUGGGAGCGGGUGCACUGAAAA
Molecule: long non-coding RNA, 798 nt
Organism: Musa acuminata subsp. malaccensis (wild Malaysian banana)
Lineage: Eukaryota; Viridiplantae; Streptophyta; Magnoliopsida; Zingiberales; Musaceae
Source: RefSeq, a predicted model, not a curated record